Molecule: small nuclear RNA, 103 nt
Organism: Myodes glareolus (Bank vole)
Lineage: Eukaryota; Metazoa; Chordata; Mammalia; Rodentia; Cricetidae
Source: RefSeq, a predicted model, not a curated record
UUGCUUUGGCAGCACAUAUAGUAAAACUGGGAAGAUACAGAGAAAAUUAUUUUAGCCUCUAUGCAAGGAUGACAUGAAAAUUUGUGGAAUAUUCCAUAUUUAA